Non-coding RNA from Oryctolagus cuniculus (rabbit), 1602 nucleotides. Lineage: Eukaryota; Metazoa; Chordata; Mammalia; Lagomorpha; Leporidae. The record is from RefSeq and is a predicted model, not a curated record.
GAAUCUGGGAACUUCCUAGACACAACCCGGAUAAAUUAAUGAUGGGGUUGGAUUCAAGUUAUUUUCAAAAGGAUGGAAUUUCAGCUGUUCCCUGUAGUGAUGGAGCAAUAAUCUCUUUGCAAUUUCUGGGGUUUUGCCCCCACAGACUACAAAUAUGGAUUGCUUUCUACUUCUUGGUCCAAUGCUGAAGAAUCCAACAAGGCAUCCUCAUGCCAAGCACAUGGUAGACCCAAACACAUUUUUGAUGAUUUAAAAACAGCAGCGGCAACAACAAAACCCUAGUAGAGGCCAUGUUCAUCCUACGCUAAGGACAUGCCUUUGGACCACAGAAGACUCAGUAGACUGCCAGGAGCACCCUCUGUGGAGGGGACACUGGCUGAGGCAGGAGGCGUACAGCUGCUGCUUCUGGUCUCAGAUUGCUACAGCCCUGACUGCUGGGAAAAGAAAAAUCACCCUCCAAUGUGUGCAUCCAGACAACUGCACGCAGAGAGCCAGGAAGGAUGAAAAAUGGGAUCUCCUUGACUGGGCGCUCCUCCUGGGGAGACAUCAGCUAUAGUGGAGUAAGAUCUGGUGGCUCUGCCUGUCCAAGUCUGGACAAUGGGAAAGCCAGGUGACAGCCCAGUGGACCGGAAAGCAAGGGGUCAAACUGUGGGUCAUGCGGUUUGCCUUCGGGAAGUCGGGUCCCAGGGCACAACCAGGACUGGAAGCUGCCCCCCACCAAGGGCCUUGGCUGCUGUGGACUUUGGCCUGCGGAGGGGUGUGCUCACCUCAGGCCCGCACCGAUCACUGGCUCUCGGCAAGCAGCAAGGACAGUGGAUUGAGAGCAAUGCUGCUGUUUAUCAGGAUGUGUGCUCUUGAAAAAGAAGUAUUUCUCUGAAAGCCUCAAUAGCUUGAAAAAAAAAAAAAACAUCAAUGCAAGGAGACAUUUCUUUUUUCUUUUUUUCGUUUAACAGGCAGAGUGGACAGUGAGAGAGAGACAGAGAGAAAGGUCCUCCUUUGCCGUUGGUUCACCCUCCAAUGGCCGCUGCGGCCGGCGCACUGCACUGAUCCGAAGCCAGGAACCAGGUGCUUCUCCUGGUCUCCCAUGGGGUGCAGGGCCCAAGCACUUGGGCCAUCCUCCACUGCACUCCCUGGCCACAGCAGAGAGCUGGUCUGGAAGAGGGGCAACCGGGACAGAAUCCGGCACCCCGACCGGGACUAGAACCCGGUGUGCCGGCGCCGCUAGGUGGAGGAUUAGCCUAGUGAGCCGCGGCACCGGCUGCAAGGAGACAUUUCAACUAAAUACAACGUCUAAUCCUGGACCGAAUCCUGGAAGACUCUGCCAUAAGGACAUUGUCUUGACACCUGGAAAAGAGUGAAUGUUGCCAGCGUAUGAACUUUCUGCGAAUGCGCCUGGAAAGCAGCGGGGGAUGACCCAAGCACUUAGGCCUCUGCUACCCAUGUGGGAGACCCGGAUGAAGCUCCUGGCUCCUGGCUUUAGGCUGGGCUCUUGCGGCCAUUUGGGGAGUGAACCAGCAGAUAGAAGAUGUCUUUCUCCGUCUCUCCCUCUUUCUCUCUGUGCCAUUCUUCCUUUCAAAUAAAUAAAAUAAACCUUAAAAAUUG